GACGAACGCUGGCGGCGUGCUUAACACAUGCAAGUCGAACGGAAAGGCCCUGCUUUUGUGGGGUGCUCGAGUGGCGAACGGGUGAGUAACACGUGAGUAACCUGCCCUUGACUUUGGGAUAACUUCAGGAAACUGGGGCUAAUACCGGAUAGGAGCUCCUGCUGCAUGGUGGGGGUUGAAAAGUUUCGGCGGUUGGGGAUGGACUCGCGGCUUAUCAGCUUGUUGGUGGGGUAGUGGCUUACCAAGGCUUUGACGGGUAGCCGGCCUGAGAGGGUGACCGGCCACAUUGGGACUGAGAUACGGCCCAGACUCCUACGGGAGGCAGCAGUGGGGAAUAUUGCACAAUGGGCGGAAGCCUGAUGCAGCAACGCCGCGUGCGGGAUGACGGCCUUCGGGUUGUAAACCGCUUUCGCCUGUGACGAAGCGUGAGUGACGGUAAUGGGCAAAGAAGCACCGGCUAACUACGUG
RNAcentral lists this ribosomal RNA (468 nucleotides) under uncultured bacterium. Its description in RNAcentral is "partial 16S ribosomal RNA". It matches the Rfam family "Bacterial small subunit ribosomal RNA", at positions 28 to 507 of the family's 1533-position model. The record is from RNAcentral.